Molecule: ribosomal RNA, 429 nt
Filed under: Actinomycetes bacterium
Lineage: Bacteria; Bacillati; Actinomycetota; Actinomycetes
Description: Actinobacteria bacterium partial 16S ribosomal RNA
Rfam family: Bacterial small subunit ribosomal RNA
Source: RNAcentral
UAGGGAAUCUUCCGCAAUGGGCGAAAGCCUGACGGAGCAACGCCGCGUGAGUGAUGAAGGUCUUCGGAUCGUAAAACUCUGUUAUUAGGGAAGAACAAAUGUGUAAGUAACUAUGCACGUCUUGACGGUACCUAAUCAGAAAGCCACGGCUAACUACGUGCCAGCAGCCGCGGUAAUACGGAGGUGGCAAGCGUUAUCCGGAAUUAUUGGGCGUAAAGCGCGCGUAGGCGGUUUUUUAAGUCUGAUGUGAAAGCCCACGGCUCAACCGUGGAGGGUCAUUGGAAACUGGAAAACUUGAGUGCAGAAGAGGAAAGUGGAAUUCCAUGUGUAGCGGUGAAAUGCGCAGAGAUAUGGAGGAACACCAGUGGCGAAGGCGACUUUCUGGUCUGUAACUGACGCUGAUGUGCGAAAGCGUGGGGAUCAAACAGG